RNAcentral lists this ribosomal RNA (468 nucleotides) under uncultured bacterium. RNAcentral's name for it is "partial 16S ribosomal RNA". It matches the Rfam family "Bacterial small subunit ribosomal RNA", at positions 28 to 507 of the family's 1533-position model. The record is from RNAcentral.
GACGAACGCUGGCGGCGUGCUUAACACAUGCAAGUCGAACGGAAAGGCCCUGCUUUUGUGGGGUGCUCGAGUGGCGAACGGGUGAGUAACACGUGAGUAACCUGCCCUUGACUUUGGGAUAACUUCAGGAAACUGGGGCUACUACCGGAUAGGAGCUCCUGCUGCAUGGUGGGGGUUGGAAAGUUUCGGCGGUUGGGGAUGGACUCGCGGCUUAUCAGCUUGUUGGUGGGGUAGUGGCUUACCAAGGCAUUGACGGGUAGCCGACCUGAGAGGGUGACCGGCCACAUUGGGACUGAGAUACGGCCCAGACUCCUACGGGAGGCAGCAGUGGGGAAUAUUGCACAAUGGGCGGGAGCCUGAUGCAGCAACGCCGCGUGCGGGAUGACGGCCUUCGGGUUGUAAACCGCUUUCGCCUGUGACGAAGCGUGAGUGACGGUAAUGGGUAAAGAAGCACCGGCUAACUACGUG